RNAcentral lists this ribosomal RNA (492 nucleotides) under uncultured bacterium. RNAcentral's name for it is "partial 16S ribosomal RNA". It matches the Rfam family "Bacterial small subunit ribosomal RNA", at positions 29 to 507 of the family's 1533-position model. The record is from RNAcentral.
AGUGAACGCUGGCGGUAGGCCUAACACAUGCAAGUCGAACGGCAGCACAGUAAGAGCUUGCUCUUACGGGUGGCGAGUGGCGGACGGGUGAGGAAUACAUCGGAAUCUACUUUUUCGGGGGGGAUAACGUAGGGAAACUUACUCUAAUACCGCAUACGACCUACGGGUGAAAGCAUGGGAUCUUCGGACCUUUCGCGAUUGAAUGAGCCGAUGUCGGAUUAGCUAGUUGGCGGGGUAAAGGCCCACCAAGGCGACGAUCCGUAGCUGGUCUGAGAGGAUGAUCAGCCGCACUGGAACUGAGACACGGUCCAGACUCCUACGGGAGGCAGCAGUGGGGAAUAUUGGACAAUGGGCGCAAGCCUGAUCCAGCCAUACCGCGUGGGUGAAGGAGGCCUUCGGGUUGUAAAGCCCGUUUGUUGGGAAAGAAAAGCAGCAGGUUAAUACCCCGCUGUUCUGACGGUACCCAAAGAAUAGGCACCGGCUAACUUCGUG